RNAcentral lists this unclassified non-coding RNA (345 nucleotides) under soil metagenome. Its description in RNAcentral is "partial contains 5.8S ribosomal RNA, internal transcribed spacer 2, and large subunit ribosomal RNA". The stretch from base 1 to 120 matches the Rfam family "5.8S ribosomal RNA", at positions 35 to 154 of the family's 154-position model. The record is from RNAcentral.
GAUGAAGAACGUAGCAAAAUGCGAUAAGUAAUGUGAAUUGCAGAAUUCCGUGAAUCAUCGAAUCUUUGAACGCACAUUGCGCCCUCUGGUAUUCCGGGGGGCAUGCCUGUCCGAGCGUCAUUUGCAACCCUCAAGCCCGGCUUGUGUGAUGGGUGCCGUCCCCUACGGGACGCGCCCCGAAGGCAAUGGCGGCGUCGCGGUUAUCCGAUCAGCCAAAGUGUAUGGGGCUUUGUCACUCACUUUACGGCCCGGACCGGCGCCAGUCCGAAUCAAUCUUUUUUCUAAAGUUGACCUCGGAUCAGGUAGGGAUACCCGCUGAACUUAAGCAUAUCAAUAAGCGGAGGA